AGUGAACGCUGGCGGCAGGCCUAACACAUGCAAGUCGAGCGGCAGCGCGGGGGCAACCCUGGCGGCGAGCGGCGGACGGGUGAGGAAUUCGUCGGAAUCUGCCUUUUUGUGGGGGAUAACGUAGGGAAACUUACGCUAAUACCGCAUACGUCCUACGGGAGAAAGUGGGGGCCCCCAGGCCCUCCCGCUAAAAGAUGACCCGAGGCCCGAUUAGCUAGUUGUUGGGGUAAAGGCCCACCAAGGCGACGAUCGGUAACUGGUCUGAGAGGAUGAUCAGCCACACUGGGACUGAGACACGGCCCAGACUCCUACGGGAGGCAGCAGUGGGGAAUAUUGGACAAUGGGCGCAAGCCUGAUCCAGCCAUGCCGCGUGUGUGAAGAAGGCCUUCGGGUUGUAAAGCACUUUUGUCCGGAAAGAAAUCCCUGGAGCUAAUACCUUCGGGGGAUGACGGUACCGGAAGAAUAAGCACCGGCUAACUUCGUG
RNAcentral lists this ribosomal RNA (484 nucleotides) under uncultured bacterium. RNAcentral describes it as "partial 16S ribosomal RNA". It matches the Rfam family "Bacterial small subunit ribosomal RNA", at positions 29 to 507 of the family's 1533-position model. The record is from RNAcentral.